AUUGAACGCUGGCGGCAUGCCUUACACAUGCAAGUCGAACGGCAGCACGGGAGCAAUCCUGGUGGCGAGUGGCGAACGGGUGAGUAAUAUAUCGGAACGUGCCCAGUCGUGGGGAUAACGUAGCGAAAGCUACGCUAAUACCGCAUACGAUCUAUGGAUGAAAGCGGGGGAUCGCAAGACCUCGCGCGAUUGGAGCGGCCGAUAUCAGAUUAGGUAGUUGGUGAGGUAAAGGCUCACCAAGCCGACGAUCUGUAGCUGGUCUGAGAGGACGACCAGCCACACUGGGACUGAGACACGGCCCAGACUCCUACGGGAGGCAGCAGUGGGGAAUUUUUGGGACAAUGGGCGCAAGCCUGAUCCAGCAAUGCCGCGUGCAGGAUGAAGG
Molecule: ribosomal RNA, 385 nt
Filed under: uncultured bacterium
Lineage: Bacteria
Description: bacterial SSU rRNA
Rfam family: Bacterial small subunit ribosomal RNA
Source: RNAcentral